Long non-coding RNA from Oryzias melastigma (Indian medaka), 1241 nucleotides. RefSeq lists it as uncharacterized. Lineage: Eukaryota; Metazoa; Chordata; Actinopteri; Beloniformes; Adrianichthyidae. The record is from RefSeq and is a predicted model, not a curated record. The transcript is spliced from 2 exons.
AAAUCAUACUAGAGUUGGGACCAUUGUUUUCACUAACAGGGAGGAACAAUCCAAACAUUUUGAAUUAUUUAGCGUAUCCUCCAGAUGUGAAAAGUUCACCCAUUUAUAUCAAAAAUAGGGUUAGAUUUGUUUCAAUUUUACACAAUAUAAUUGUUUUUAAGGCUUCUCAUCCAUUUUUCUAUUUUUUUUAAUCUGUAGAAAAAAACAUAAGGGUGGAUUGGAGGAAGGGGCGUGGCUUGUCAUGCAUUUCCCGUCCUGCUCUGUGAUUUUGCAGGCAUACAUGCAGGAUACCCACCUCUGUUUGAUGUUAAAGCCAGCGCCCAGGUCUCUGUCUGCACAGGCAGGUGUGUGUGUGUGUGUGUGUGUGUUGAUAACAUUUUGCAGCACGACACUGUGAGUGGCCUCUGAUCUCUUGCAGCAUCGAGAAUGAAAGGAAACACUGGUGACUUUGAUGUCUAAAAGGAAUUUCUUUUCAUGUAAAAGCUGCCAAAACAACCCAGAUUAAUUAGUGAAUAUUGUCUUGAACAUGCACGCACCCUCCCCCAUUUACAACAACAAACACUGUACAGUAUAUUCUGUGUGUAUCCAUAGCAACCCCCCUACAUACGUGCUUCCCAAAUUUAAACCCAACCCCCAAAAAUUAAAAUCCUGCAGUUCCUUAAAUGGCCACCAGGGGCUGGUUUCAGGCAAUUUCCCAUAGUAAUAAAGCCUGUAUUGAUGUUUAUAUUUUUGUUUUCUGUUUAUUUCCGCUUUUUUAGUUUAUUUAUUUAUUUUUAGGGCUACUUGGUGGUACAUCGGUUUGGAUGUGACCAUCCAACAGACUGGUGACCUCUUCAGGCUAGUUUCCUGCUCUUCAGUCCACGUCUGAGAAUGUAAAAUAAGCCUGUCACCAAAUGACUACACAGCUUGAUCUGGCAGUUUUACAUAACGCUGGAACGCAGUCAGCUUUCACCGUGGCCAAGCACUAGCAGUUCCUGCUUGGCCGGCGUCCUGUCUCCGAGGCUAUUUAGCCGUGGCUGUGAAUGGAGCCGCUAGCAAACAGUGCGGAAGUGUCUCUGAUUGAGGAGAAUGGAAGGCGGCGAGCAGCCCACUUACCAGCUUGCUGCUGCCCCCACACACAGACAAAUCCUCACACGCACACAGGAAUGCAACUGUACCGAUGGAGAGAAAAAAGUCAUUUAAAAAACAUACAUUGGACCUAAAACAUUUAUAAAUACAUUGAUUAAAAUAAAAUAAAAAAA